GAAAUCAAAAGGGGAAUGCUGUAGAGGCGGAGGGUACCGGAGGAGUUAUUGGGAACUGCCGAAGAGCGCAAGGAGGAGACGAGGAGACGGGGAGAUAAGGAGGCGCUGUCGUUUCUUAGAUAUAUAUGGCAGGCAACCAUCUGAGCAAGAACAGGAUUUUUGGUUUCUGCUUUCACCCGUGCGGUUGACAUGCAGGUCCCACCUGUGAUUUGGAUCUUUAACCGAGCACUGAAAAUUGUGGAUUUUAAUUUCAUGAGGCACUAGAUUGUUGAUAGUGUU
This 279-nucleotide long non-coding RNA is filed under the name Setaria viridis. Its description in RNAcentral is "long non-coding RNA (SVIR_LNC003169)". Lineage: Eukaryota; Viridiplantae; Streptophyta; Magnoliopsida; Poales; Poaceae. The record is from RNAcentral.